Molecule: long non-coding RNA, 2102 nt
Filed under: Homo sapiens (human)
Lineage: Eukaryota; Metazoa; Chordata; Mammalia; Primates; Hominidae
Description: HSALNT0361851
Source: RNAcentral
AAUUUAGCAAGUACCACAGUGAGUUAAAUUCCAAGUAAAGUGGAACUUCUGUUUAAAACCCAUGGUACUUAGGUUUUUAAUAAGUGUUUAUUAGGAGAAUGAAUAGAGUUCAUUGUAAGAGAAGAGGUAAAGAGAAUAGGUGUAUAAAAACUAAGGUCAAACUCAUUAUACAUAUUCAGAGUUUACCCAAGAAAAAAUAACAUUCCACAGGGUAAGUUAUUUACAAGGAAAGUCUUCUUGAUGCAAUUAGCCUCUGUGAUUCCCAAUCCUAUUAGCCUGGACUCUUAGCGUGAUUGCAUGGAUUCUCCUGAUGUCAUUCAUCCAGGAUAGGGUUUAAGUUUUGCAAAGAGCUGUUGCUCAGCAAUGUUUGAUUAAGUAAAGUACAAAUGCUGUAGUGCUAAGUAUCUGCUUAACAGUUGGAUCUUUAAAGCUUUUGUACUAACUCUUUGAAGCCAUAAAGUCAAUUAUGGAUUUGCAUAUCCCCAUGAUAAGACAGUGAGACUGUCAUGGAUGAUGAAAGGUUAUGGCCUUAUAAUGCCCCAAGAAAAGAAGACUUCUGCUAAGAGACAAAGCUGUACCAGAGUCGAGGGUAUAAUUCUUCAAUCCGCUAAAAUUACAAAAAAUUUCAAAGUAUCACUUCAGAUCAUUUUUCAAGAUGUGCUUGUUGACCUUCUAAAUUAGAUGGUAUUUUUCUACUUUCAGGAAAUGAACAACAGGCCCAAUAAUUUCGGAGUGAUUUAUGAGUAUCCAAUGCAAUGGCACACUAUGGACAGACUUUAUGUGAACAAAUCUGAAAAAAAAAUAGUUUGUUCUGGUAUAUCUUGGGUUAUCAUAAGCCACCACACCAGAACAAAAACUGCUUCUUUUUAUAAUAAAGCUUCAAAAAGGAGAUUAGGUAUAUUUGCUUCAAAAAUAACAAUUUGAAUUUUUUAAUGAGAUUUAUUUUUCAAAUUUUAUUUUUCAAAAUAAAGACCACCAAAUGCCUCAUUCUUAUAGGAAAUCUAAAUAGAAAAUAUACAAAACAUAAUAACUCCUAUCAUCCAAUCCCGGCCAUUCUGAGUCAAUUACUGAUGCAUUUUCAUUCAAUUCUUUUCACGUGCUGAGUCUCACUUGAGGAAAGGGACCCGCGUUAUGGAGUUGGCAAGUGCCAUUAUAGCCUCAAAAGUGCAAGAGUACAUUUCUGGGUGCUGUUCACUCCUGCUAUCGUCUUUCAUCACUCCCUUUAGUGUCUGCCUCAGGCGGAUCACCUUGACUCUUUAAUCAAAUUAAGAUUUCAAAUGCCAUUUCUAAAACUUUUUUUUUUUUUCAAACGCUAUGUAAUCAGGUGACAGACAUCCGCCUGCGACAGGACAUCUGCCUGCGACUCAAAACAUUCGAGAGUUUUUCCUGGUGAAUUCAGUCUCACUUCCUGCCAAAGUAAACGAGUUCCUGUGCUGGCCGUCCCGCCCCUCCGAAUCCUCGGGAGAAGCGGGACUAAAGGAUCAAGCUGAAGUGAAUGUGUAGCCCUGUGACCUCAGCGCGCGGGGGCGGGGCGAUCGCCGGACACCCCCGCCCUCCCCGCCUCCAGCGCGAGUGACAACCCGGUCUCUGGCUCUGGAGCUGCGGCGCGGAACAAGCCCCGCAGGGCCUUCCCUGGCCGCCAACACACCACUCCCGGAGCUGAUUCCCUGUGCCCAGCUCCUUUCUUGGCGAGGCUUCAGUCCCUUAGUCGGCCUCAGUCUGUCCACCUUCGGAGAGGUCUGAGCGCUAGCCGGAGACAGGUAGACACCGAGAAGUGACAGAACCCAGAGGAAGCUGGAGAGAGGCAGCGAGGAAACGAGGGCCCGGCGGGCAGCAGCAUGAAAUUCAGCCCAGUGCCCUACCUGCUGCCUCUCCUGCCCGCGCUGGUCCUCAGCACCAGAUGGCCAAAUAGGAACGGCUCCGGUCUGCAGCACCCAGCAAGACCAACGCAGAAGGCAGGAGCCAAAAGGAAGCACUUCAUCUUUUUAUGAUUCCCUGGUGUUAUGAUCUCAAAAAUCACUUAAGCUUUACACAUUUGACCCUGAAUAAACUAGAGUUUACAAACCUUAAGCUGUGAGUCAUGGAGCAGAGACAAUUAAAGU